CAGUCGCCGCGGUAAUACAGAGGAUGCAAGCGUUAUCCGGAAUGAUUGGGCGUAAAGCGUCUGUAGGUGGCUUUUCAAGUCCGCCGUCAAAUCCCAGGGCUCAACCCUGGACAGGCGGUGGAAACUACCAAGCUGGAGUACGGUAGGGGCAGAGGGAAUUUCCAGUGGAGCGGUGAAAUGCGAUGAGAUCGAAAAGAACACCAACAGCGAAAGCACUCUGCUGGGACGACACUGACACUAAGAGACGAAAGCUAGGGGAGCAAAUGGGAUUAGAUACCCCCGUAGUCCCUGUCUCUUAUAC
RNAcentral lists this ribosomal RNA (301 nucleotides) under uncultured bacterium. RNAcentral's name for it is "partial 16S ribosomal RNA". It matches the Rfam family "Bacterial small subunit ribosomal RNA", at positions 509 to 807 of the family's 1533-position model. The record is from RNAcentral.